Molecule: ribosomal RNA, 497 nt
Filed under: uncultured bacterium
Lineage: Bacteria
Description: partial 16S ribosomal RNA
Rfam family: Bacterial small subunit ribosomal RNA
Source: RNAcentral
AUUGAACGCUGGCGGCAUGCCUUACACAUGCAAGUCGAACGGUAACAGGUCUUCGGAUGCUGACGAGUGGCGAACGGGUGAGUAAUGCAUCGGAACGUGCCCAGUCGUGGGGGAUAACGCAGCGAAAGUUGCGCUAAUACCGCAUACGAUCUAUGGAUGAAAGCGGGGGAACGUAGGCCUCGCGCGAUUGGAGCGGCCGAUGUCAGAUUAGGUAGUUGGUGGGGUAAAGGCUCACCAAGCCGACGAUCUGUAGCUGGUCUGAGAGGACGACCAGCCACACUGGGACUGAGACACGGCCCAGACUCCUACGGGAGGCAGCAGUGGGGAAUUUUGGACAAUGGGCGCAAGCCUGAUCCAGCAAUGCCGCGUGCAGGAAGAAGGCCUUCGGGUUGUAAACUGCUUUUGUACGGAACGAAACGGUCCUGGUUAAUACCCGGGGCUAAUGACGGUACCGUAAGAAUAAGCACCGGCUAACUACGUGCCAGCCGCCGCCGUAA